RNAcentral lists this ribosomal RNA (253 nucleotides) under uncultured bacterium. Its description in RNAcentral is "partial 16S ribosomal RNA". It matches the Rfam family "Bacterial small subunit ribosomal RNA", at positions 524 to 776 of the family's 1533-position model. The record is from RNAcentral.
UACGGAGGGUGCUAGCGUUGUUCGGAAUCACUGGGCGUAAAGGGCGUGUAGGCGGCCUGCUAAGUCUGAUGUGAAAUCCCCUCGCUCAACGAGGGAACUGCGUCGGAUACUGGCAGACUCGAGUACCGGAGAGGAAGGUGGAAUUCCCGAAGUAGAGGUGAAAUUCGUAGAUAUCGGGAGGAACACCGGUGGCGAAGGCGACCAUCUGGACGGAUACUGACGCUGAGACGCGAAAGCGUGGGGAGCAAACAGG